GUUGUAUGGUUAAGUGACUAAGCGUACAUGGUGGAUGCCUUGGCAGUCAGAGGCGAUGAAGGACGUACUAACCUGCGAUAAGCUGUGAGAAGUCGGUAAGAGACGCUAUUACUCACAGAUUUCCGAAUGGGGAAACCCACCCGAGAUAACUCGGGUAUCUGUUACUGAAUACAUAGGUAACAGAGGCGAACCGGGAGAACUGAAACAUCUAAGUACCCCGAGGAAAAGAAAUCAACCGAGAUUCCCUCAGUAGCGGCGAGCGAACGG
This 267-nucleotide ribosomal RNA is filed under the name Aeromonas veronii. Its description in RNAcentral is "partial 23S ribosomal RNA". It matches the Rfam family "Bacterial large subunit ribosomal RNA", at positions 1 to 260 of the family's 2925-position model. The record is from RNAcentral. Lineage: Bacteria; Pseudomonadati; Pseudomonadota; Gammaproteobacteria; Aeromonadales; Aeromonadaceae.